This 253-nucleotide ribosomal RNA is filed under the name uncultured bacterium. Its description in RNAcentral is "partial 16S ribosomal RNA". It matches the Rfam family "Bacterial small subunit ribosomal RNA", at positions 524 to 776 of the family's 1533-position model. The record is from RNAcentral.
UACGUAGGUGGCAAGCGUUGUCCGGAAUUAUUGGGCGUAAAGCGCGCGCAGGCGGUCCUUUAAGUCUGAUGUGAAAGCCCACGGCUCAACCGUGGAGGGUCAUUGGAAACUGGGGGACUUGAGUACAGAAGAGGAAAGCGGAAUUCCACGUGUAGCGGUGAAAUGCGUAGAGAUGUGGAGGAACACCAGUGGCGAAGGCGGCUUUCUGGACGAUAACUGACGCUGAGACGCGAAAGCGUGGGGAGCAAACAGG